RNAcentral lists this ribosomal RNA (253 nucleotides) under uncultured bacterium. RNAcentral's name for it is "partial 16S ribosomal RNA". It matches the Rfam family "Bacterial small subunit ribosomal RNA", at positions 524 to 776 of the family's 1533-position model. The record is from RNAcentral.
UACAGAGGGCCCGAGCGUUGCGCAGAAUCACUGGGCUUAAAGGGUGCGUAGGCGGACAUGAAAGUGUCUUGUGAAAUCCCACGGCUUAACCGUGGAACUGCUUGGCAAACUACAUGUCUUGAGCCUGACAGGGGCCGUCGGAACUCUAGGUGGAGCGGUGAAAUGCGUAGAUAUCUAGAGGAACGCCAAAGGUGAAGCCAGACGGCUGGGUCGCCGCUGACGCUGAGGCACGAAAGCGUGGGUAGCGAACGGG